This 417-nucleotide ribosomal RNA is filed under the name uncultured bacterium. RNAcentral's name for it is "bacterial SSU rRNA". It matches the Rfam family "Bacterial small subunit ribosomal RNA", at positions 40 to 502 of the family's 1533-position model. The record is from RNAcentral.
CGGCACGCCUAACACAUGCAAGUCGAACGAAGUAGCAAUACUUAGUGGCAGACGGGUGAGUAACAUGUAGGUAUCUGCCCUUUGGCCUGGAAUAACACGAGGAAACUUGUGCUAAUACCGGAUAAGUCUUUACGGAGAAAGCUUUAUGCACCAUUGGAUGAGCCUGCACUUGAUUAGUUUGUUGGUGGGGUAAUGGCCUACCAAGACUGUGAUCAAUAGCUGAUUUGAGAGGAUGAUCAGCCACAUUGGGACUGAGACACGGCCCAAACUCCUACGGGAGGCAGCAGUGGGGAAUCUUGCACAAUGGAGGAAACUCUGAUGCAGCGAUGCCGCGUGAGUGAAGAAGGCCCUUGGGUUGUAAAGCUCUUUCGUCGGGGAAGAAAAUGACUGUACCCGAAUAAGAAGGUCCGGCUAACU